AUUGAACGCUGGCGGAAUGCUUUACACAUGCAAGUCGAACGGCAGCACGGACUUCGGUCUGGUGGCGAGUGGCGAACGGGUGAGUAAUGUAUCGGAACGUGCCCAGUCGUGGGGGAUAACGUAGUGAAAAUUACGCUAAUACCGCAUACGAUCUAUGGAUGAAAGCGGGGGAUCGCAAGACCUCGCGCGAUUGGAGCGGCCGAUAUCAGAUUAGGUAGUUGGUGUGGUAAAGGCGCACCAAGCCAACGAUCUGUAGCUGGUCUGAGAGGACGACCAGCCACACUGGAACUGAGACACGGUCCAGACUCCUACGGGAGGCAGCAGUGGGGAAUUUUGGACAAUGGGCGAAAGCCUGAUCCAGCCAUUCCGCGUGCAGGAUGAAGGCCCUCGGGUUGUAAACUGCUUUUGUACAGAACGAAAAGGUUUCUACUAAUACUAGGAGCUCAUGACGGUACUGUAAGAAUAAGCACCGGCUAACUACGUGCCAGCCGCCGCGGUAA
Molecule: ribosomal RNA, 500 nt
Filed under: uncultured bacterium
Lineage: Bacteria
Description: partial 16S ribosomal RNA
Rfam family: Bacterial small subunit ribosomal RNA
Source: RNAcentral